Molecule: ribosomal RNA, 261 nt
Filed under: Serratia ureilytica
Lineage: Bacteria; Pseudomonadati; Pseudomonadota; Gammaproteobacteria; Enterobacterales; Yersiniaceae
Description: partial 23S ribosomal RNA
Rfam family: Bacterial large subunit ribosomal RNA
Source: RNAcentral
AGCUUGACACUGAACAUUGAGCCUUGAUGUGUAGGAUAGGUGGGAGGCUUUGAAGCGUGGACGCCAGUCUGCGUGGAGCCAUCCUUGAAAUACCACCCUUUAAUGUUUGAUGUUCUAACUCGGCCCCGUAAUCCGGGGUGAGGACAGUGUCUGGUGGGUAGUUUGACUGGGGCGGUCUCCUCCCAAAGAGUAACGGAGGAGCACGAAGGUUAGCUAAUCACGGUCGGACAUCGUGAGGUUAGUGCAAAGGCAUAAGCUAGC